AAAGCUGGUCCAUUCAAGUGUACAAAUAAAAGCUGUAGGCAAGGCUGUUGAUAAGAUGAUACUGCGCAUAGAUAGAAGUGGAUAAGCAAGAAUAUUCAGGAACCUUCUCAAACACUUAUCACUUCAAUAAAGUUGAUGAAAAAUGCAAAUAUUCAGAAGUUAAGUUAAUCUAGAAGUCCAACUGUGAUAAGGGUUCUGCAAGGAAAAAGGAUAAAGCAAAAAGAGUCCUAUUUAACCAGGGAAGGAGAAACGACUACAACAAGGAGUGAAGUUACUUGAUAGACUAAAGAAGAAAUAAGCAGAAAUCAAGAAGGACUCUACUACAGGAGAAAUUAUCAGGGUGCAUAUAUACAACAAAGCACAAUCAAGUAAUGGACUGAAUGCACAGAAAAGAAAAUCAACAAUCAGCAUAAAAGUUCACAUACUUGAAGAAGAACUUGUUUCCUUACUUAGCAAGUUGUAGACUGUGUAGUAGGUAGGUUCCUUGAGUUGUAAUGAGUCAUUUUUCUAGUCUCAGUGAUCUAUAAAAUGAGUUAGGAAUUGUGUUUUCAAGUUGGAAACUCGAAGACUUGAGAACACUUAUCUUGGGAAGAUUUGUGUUUUUGUAAAGAUAGGAAUUAGAAGUUUUAAUCCCUAGUUAACAAGAAGUCUUGUAUUUUUGUUGAUUAUUGAGGCUCAAGUAUCAUAGUGAAGUUGGGGUUAAAUCCUGUAGAGGUACAGUUCGUGGUUUUUUACACCUUUC
Molecule: long non-coding RNA, 742 nt
Filed under: Capsicum annuum
Lineage: Eukaryota; Viridiplantae; Streptophyta; Magnoliopsida; Solanales; Solanaceae
Description: long non-coding RNA (CANN_LNC022302)
Source: RNAcentral